Molecule: small RNA, 199 nt
Filed under: Arsenophonus endosymbiont of Trialeurodes vaporariorum
Lineage: Bacteria; Pseudomonadati; Pseudomonadota; Gammaproteobacteria; Enterobacterales; Morganellaceae
Description: IS009
Source: RNAcentral
UCAAGGAUGUUGAAGCUGAAAAAUUAGCAGGAAGACAGAAAUUAGAAGGCAUCAAACAACCAAAAUUAUAUGAUGCCACUGGUGAACUUGCACCUCUUCAAGAUGCCAUAGAUCUAGAGAUGGCAACCGAAGAGGAGAAAAAAAGACUGAUAGCCUGGAAAAAAUAUCGGGUAUUAGUUAAUCGUAUAGAUACAUCAAC